UUUUAAAAAGCGUCAAAGCUUAAUUCCAAAUACAAAAUUCCCACAUUUACAUUAACCCCUUUAAUCGUAUUGAGAACUUCUAUAAUUUUAUAGAACUUUUUAUGCUAAAACUAGUAACAAGAGAAAACCCUCUCCCAAACGCAAGUACAAGCCAGAAGAACCCAUCACUGGCAUAAUAACAGACUACAAAGAAGCAACUCUUCCAGAAAACUCUUCUACCUUAACUGUUAAUCUUACACCAGGGCGUUUCGAGAAAGAUUAAAAGAAAAAGAAGGAACUCGGCAAAAACUAGCCCCGCCUGUUUACCAAAAACAUCGCCUCUUGAAUUUAUUAGAGGUCCAGCCUGCCCAGUGACUCCUGUUUAACGGCCGCGGUAUUCUAACCGUGCAAAGGUAGCGUAAUCACUUGUUUUCUAAAUAAAGACUAGUAUGAAAGGCACCACGAGGACUAAACUGUCUCCUUUUUCCAAUCAGUGAACCUAAUCUCCCCGUGAAGAAGCGGGGAUUUCAGUAUAAGACGAGAAGACCCUGUGGAGCUUAAAACAUCUAAACAUCUGCUUCAUUUUCCAUCACUCAGGUAUAUUACCCCUCUUGCAAUUUGAUUUAAUGUUUUUGGUUGGGGUGACCGCGGAAAAAAACAGAUCCUCCGCAAUGAAAAGGAAUUCCUUAAACUGUAAGUCACAACUUUACGUAUCAAAAAAUUGACACCAUCGACCCAAUAGUUGAUCAAUGAACCAAGUUACCCCAGGGAUAACAGCACAAUCCACUUCAAGAGUUCAUAUCGACAAGUGGGCUUAUGACCUCGAUGUUGGAUCGGGAUAUCCUAGUGGUGCAGCCGCUACUGAAGGUUCGUUUGUUCAACGAUUAAAACCC
This 872-nucleotide ribosomal RNA is filed under the name Pristimantis luteolateralis (white-striped robber frog). RNAcentral describes it as "partial 16S ribosomal RNA". It matches the Rfam family "Bacterial large subunit ribosomal RNA", at positions 1492 to 2596 of the family's 2925-position model. Lineage: Eukaryota; Metazoa; Chordata; Amphibia; Anura; Strabomantidae. The record is from RNAcentral.